UGGGGAAUAUUGGACAAUGGGGGCAACCCUGAUCCAGCCAUGCCGCGUGAGUGAUGAAGGCCUUCGGGUUGUAAAGCUCUUUUGGCGGGGACGAUGAUGACGGUACCCGCAGAAUAAGCCCCGGCUAACUUCGUGCCAGCAGCCGCGGUAAGACGAAGGGGGCUAGCGUUGUUCGGAAUUACUGGGCGUAAAGCGAGUGUAGGUGGUUGUCCAAGUUGGAUGUGAAAGCCUUGAGCUCAACUCAAGAAAUGCAUUCAGGACUGGAUGACUAGAGGACCGGAGAGGAUAGUGGAAUUCCCAGUGUAGUGGUGAAAUACGUAGAGAUUGGGAAGAACACCAGUGGCGAAGGCGGCUAUCUGGACGGUUUCUGACACUAAGACUCGAAAGCGUGGGGAGCAAACA
Molecule: ribosomal RNA, 402 nt
Filed under: uncultured Reyranella sp.
Lineage: Bacteria; Pseudomonadati; Pseudomonadota; Alphaproteobacteria; Hyphomicrobiales; Reyranellaceae
Description: bacterial SSU rRNA
Rfam family: Bacterial small subunit ribosomal RNA
Source: RNAcentral